RNAcentral lists this transfer RNA (83 nucleotides) under Clostridiales bacterium. RNAcentral's name for it is "tRNA-Leu". It matches the Rfam family "tRNA". From Rfam's summary of the family: Transfer RNA (tRNA) molecules are approximately 80 nucleotides in length. Their secondary structure includes four short double-helical elements and three loops (D, anti-codon, and T loops). Further hydrogen bonds mediate the characteristic L-shaped molecular structure. tRNAs have two regions of fundamental functional importance: the anti-codon, which is responsible for specific mRNA codon recognition, and the 3' end, to which the tRNAs corresponding amino acid is attached (by aminoacyl-tRNA synthetases). tRNAs cope with the degeneracy of the genetic code in two manners: having more than one tRNA (with a specific anti-codon) for a particular amino acid; and 'wobble' base-pairing, i.e. permitting non-standard base-pairing at the 3rd anti-codon position. The record is from RNAcentral. Lineage: Bacteria; Bacillati; Bacillota; Clostridia; Eubacteriales.
GCGAGCGUGGCGAAAUUGGCAGACGCGCCGGACUUAGGAUCCGGUGGGCAACCGUGGAGGUUCAAGUCCUGUCGCUCGCACCA